This is a microRNA precursor of Monodelphis domestica (gray short-tailed opossum), 72 nucleotides long. Ensembl annotates it as mdo-mir-1545a. The record is from Ensembl. NCBI's taxonomy places the organism in Eukaryota, Metazoa, Chordata, Mammalia, Didelphimorphia, Didelphidae.
CCGGACACAGUGCGCAGGGAUAGAUAAGAGGUCACUUUAGAAUCCACUUUCCAUCCCUUGCACUGUUUCCGC